GACGAACGCUGGCGGCGUGCUUAACACAUGCGAGUCGAACGGAAAGGCCCUGCUUUUGUGGGGUGCUCGAGUGGCGAACGGGUGAGUAACACGGGAGUAACCUGCCCUUGACUUUGGGAUAACUUCAGGAAACUGGGGCUAAUACCGGAUAGGAGCUCCUGCUGCAUGGUGGGGGUUGGAAAGUUUCGGCGGUUGGGGAUGGACUCGCGGCUUAUCAGCUUGUUGGGGGGGGAGUGGCUUACGAAGGCUUUGACGGGUAGCCGGCCUGAGAGGGUGACCGGCCACCUUGGGACUGCGAUACGGCGCAGACUCCUACGGGAGGCAGCAGUGGGGAAUAUUGCACAGUGGGCGGACGCCUGAUGCAGCAACGCCGCGUGCGGGAUGACGGCCUUCGGGUUGUAAACCGCUUUCGCCUGUGACGAAGCGUGAGUGACGGUAAUGGGUAAAGAAGCACCGGCUAACUACGUG
Molecule: ribosomal RNA, 468 nt
Filed under: uncultured bacterium
Lineage: Bacteria
Description: partial 16S ribosomal RNA
Rfam family: Bacterial small subunit ribosomal RNA
Source: RNAcentral